This 274-nucleotide ribosomal RNA is filed under the name uncultured bacterium. RNAcentral's name for it is "partial 16S ribosomal RNA". It matches the Rfam family "Bacterial small subunit ribosomal RNA", at positions 523 to 796 of the family's 1533-position model. The record is from RNAcentral.
AUACGGAGGGUGCAAGCGUUAAUCGGAAUUACUGGGCGUAAAGCGUACGUAGGCGGUUCGUUAAGUUAGAUGUGAAAGCCCCGGGCUUAACCUGGGAACUGCAUUUAAAACUGGCGUACUAGAGUUGAGUAGAGGGGAGUGGAAUUUCAGGUGUAGCGGUGAAAUGCGUAGAGAUCUGAAGGAACACCAGUGGCGAAGGCGACUCCCUGGACUCGAACUGACGCUGAGGUACGAAAGCGUGGGUAGCAAACGGGAUUAGAUACCCUAGUAGUCC